GGGGGCCUGAGGACUGGAAUUGGGAAACACUGCAUUAAAGGACUCAGAGCUUUGCUGAUGGAGAAAAUCCCGUCUGAGACAUCAAGAGGGUCUACCUGUUUGGUCCUCAAUGCCCCCUGGAGAGAUUCAGCAGCAACACGCAGGCUGCUCUGAUAAACAGGAACAGAAAUGGUGGCGUGUUGAAAUAUUUUGGGCCCUUCCAAAUUCAUGAGCCAUCUAUACCCACUAACACUGAGUGACUUUCUCAUUUCUACUCUCCCAUGAAGCUCUGACUGGUGAAGAAGGAACAUCUGAGACGCUCAUCCUGGCUGUAAUAUUAACUUCCUGUUCCUGUUCC
Gambusia affinis (western mosquitofish) is the source of this 337-nucleotide long non-coding RNA. RefSeq lists it as uncharacterized. The record is from RefSeq and is a predicted model, not a curated record. The transcript is spliced from 3 exons. Lineage: Eukaryota; Metazoa; Chordata; Actinopteri; Cyprinodontiformes; Poeciliidae.